UACGUAGGGUGCGAGCGUUAAUCGGAAUUACUGGGCGUAAAGUGUGCGCAGGCGGCGCCGCAAGUCGAGUGUGAAAGCCCCGGGCUUAACUUGGGAAUUGCGCUCGAAACUAUGGUGCUGGAGUGUGGCAGAGGAAGGUGGAAUUCCACGUGUAGCGGUGAAAUGCGUAGAGAUGUGGAGGAACACCGAUGGCGAAGGCAGCCUUCUGGGCCAACACUGACGCUCAUGCACAAAAGCGUGGGGAGCAAACAGG
This 253-nucleotide ribosomal RNA is filed under the name uncultured bacterium. RNAcentral describes it as "partial 16S ribosomal RNA". It matches the Rfam family "Bacterial small subunit ribosomal RNA", at positions 524 to 776 of the family's 1533-position model. The record is from RNAcentral.